GGCACGUGAAACCUUGUCUGAAUAUGGGGGGACCAUCCUCCAAGGCUAAAUACUCCUGACUGACCGAUAGUGAACCAGUACCGUGAGGGAAAGGCGAAAAGAACCCCUGUGAGGGGAGUGAAAUAGAUCCUGAAACCGCAUGCAUACAAGCAGUGGGAGCCGACUUGUUCGGUGACUGCGUACCUUUUGUAUAAUGGGUCAGCGACUUACAUUCAGUAGCGAGGUUAACCGCAUAGGGGAGCCGUAGAGAAAUCGAGUCUUAAUAGGGCGUUUAGUUGCUGGGUGUAGACCCGAAACCGGGUGAUCUAUCCAUGAGCAGGUUGAAGGUUGGGUAACACUAACUGGAGGACCGAACCCACUGUCGUUGAAAAGCCAGGGGAUGACUUGUGGAUAGGGGUGAAAGGCUAAUCAAACUCGGUGAUAGCUGGUUCUCCCCGAAAGCUAUUUAGGUAGCGCCUCGGACGAAUACCAUUGGGGGUAGAGCACUGUUUCGGCUAGGGGGUCAUCCCGACUUACCAAACCGAUGCAAACUCCGAAUACCAAUGAGUACUAUCCGGGAGACAGACUGCGGGUGCUAACGUCCGUAGUCAAGAGGAAAACAAUCCAGACCGCCAGCUAAGGCCCCAAAAUUAUAGUUAAGUGGGAAACGAUGUGGGAAGGCAUAGACAGCUAGGAGGUUGGCUUAGAAGCAGCCACCCUUUAAAGAAAGCGUAAUAGCUCACUAGUCGAGUCGGCCUGCGCGGAAGAUGUAACGGGGCUAAAACUAU
Molecule: ribosomal RNA, 767 nt
Filed under: Acinetobacter johnsonii
Lineage: Bacteria; Pseudomonadati; Pseudomonadota; Gammaproteobacteria; Moraxellales; Moraxellaceae
Description: partial 23S ribosomal RNA
Rfam family: Bacterial large subunit ribosomal RNA
Source: RNAcentral